Molecule: long non-coding RNA, 1475 nt
Organism: Photinus pyralis (common eastern firefly)
Lineage: Eukaryota; Metazoa; Arthropoda; Insecta; Coleoptera; Lampyridae
Exons: 2
Source: RefSeq, a predicted model, not a curated record
UGCUGUAGAUGUAUUUGGUCUGAAUCCAAACUGGUUUCGACUAAGUACAUUACAUUUUUUUAGGAAACUUUCUAAUCUAUCUAAAUAGCAAUAUUCUAGAAUUUUUGAGAAUACUGAUGUUAUGGCAAUUGGUCUAUAGUUGCUUGCAUCUUCUGCACUACCGCUUUUAAAAACCGGAAUUAUUUUGCUAGUUUUAAGGCAACUGGGAACUUUCCAGUCGCGAAUGACACGUUUACAAUAUAGGUUAUAGGUUUCGCAAUUACUUUAGAAACAAAUUUAAUUAGGGAGCAUGGGAGUUCAUCCGGCCCUGCUGAUCUUUUGUUUUUUAUUUUUUUGUUUAUAAGCGUUAUCAUUUCUGGUUCACAAAAGGGUGUUAGAUACAAAGAUUUUGGAUUAUGGUUUAGUUUAAUUGUUUUGCUUGUAUGUUUGGUAAUUUUUGCAAUUGUCUCAUUGGGAAUGUUUUUAAAGUGGUUAUUGAAAGAUUCUGCGACAUCGUGGGGGUUUUCAAUGUACACUGAACCCUUUUUCAAUUUCAAGUUUCUAGUUUGGGAGCCGUGUUUGCUUUUUAUAAAUGACCAAGCGCUUUUUACCAUGUUAUCUGAGUUAAGAAUGGUGUUUUGGACAUACGCCCUGCGAACAUGUUUAAUUAGGGUCAUAUGCUUCCUUUUCAUUUCUAUGUAUUGAGGCUUUAGCUCGGGAUAUUUACUUUGUAACAUGUAGAAUGACUUCAAGUUUGCACUAGACGUCCUCACGUCCUCAUUAACCCACCCUUUAGGAACGUUUCCGUUUUUGUUUUUAUAUAGAUAAGGAAAGACAUUGUUGAAGUGGUGAGACACUAUCUUACUAAAUAUAUUAAAAGCAGUCUCUACAUCCGAUCCUCUUAACACUGGAUCCCAAUCUUCUAUUUCCAAUUGACUAUAGAAUUCUCUACGGCGAUUUUCAUUAUAACUUCUAAUCCGAAUUUUUUCGCUUUGAUUUGGAGCAUCUAUAUUUGAUUUUAUGACAACGGUACUGUGAUCAGAAAUGCAGUUUUGUAAAACAUUAACUAACACUUGUGAAGACAUGGUCUAAAAGUUUACCUUUCCUAGUAGGUGCGUUUAUGGUACUUACCAUAUUAUAAGAGAUCAGUAGCUGACUUAUUUUACUAAAAAGACAGUUAUCUCUAACGGGAUCAACAUUAAUAUCCCCCAGCAAAAUGAAGUAAACAGUUGGUGUAAAUAGAGAGUCUAGUACAGCCUGCAACUUGCUGCAAAAUUUGUCAAACUCCCCGCAUGGUGAGCGAUAACAUGCUGUGCCACAGAUUUCAAAGGUUUUUUCUUCACAAUAAUUUUCCAGAUUUACCGCCGUGACAUCUAGAUUUUUACGGCACCAAAUUCCAACACCUCCACCUUUAUAAAUAGACCUACAAUAGUGCGAAAUCUUUCUAAAAUUAGGAAAGUUAACAUUAUUGAUAGAUACUUUAGUACACCAUGUUU